RNAcentral lists this ribosomal RNA (497 nucleotides) under uncultured bacterium. RNAcentral describes it as "partial 16S ribosomal RNA". It matches the Rfam family "Bacterial small subunit ribosomal RNA", at positions 28 to 507 of the family's 1533-position model. The record is from RNAcentral.
GAUGAACGCUGGCGGCGUGCCUAAUACAUGCAAGUCGAGCGAACGGACGAGAGGCUUGCUUCUCUGAUGUUAGCGGCGGACGGGUGAGUAACACGUGGAUAACCUACCUAUAAGACUGGGAUAACUUCGGGAAACCGGAGCUAAUACCGGAUGAUAUUUUGAACCGCAUGGUUCAAAAGUGAAAGACGGUCUUGCUGUCACUUAUAGAUGGAUCCGCGCUGCAUUAGCUAGUUGGUAAGGUAACGGCUUACCAAGGCAACGAUGCAUAGCCGACCUGAGAGGGUGAUCGGCCACACUGGAACUGAGACACCGUCCAGACUCCUACGGGAGGCAGCAGUAGGGAAUCUUCCGCAAUGGGCGAAAGCCUGACGGAGCAACGCCGCGUGAGUGAUGAAGGUCUUCGGAUCGUAAAACUCUGUUAUUAGGGAAGAACAUAUGUGUAAGUAACUAUGCACAUCUUGACGGUACCUAAUCAGAAAGCCACGGCUAACUACGUG